UACGAAGGGGGCUAGCGUUGCUCGGAAUCACUGGGCGUAAAGCGCACGUAGGCGGAUCUUUAAGUCAGGGGUGAAAUCCCGGAGCUCAACUCCGGAACUGCCUCUGAUACUGACGGUCUUGAGUUCGGGAGAGGUGAGUGGAACUGCGAGUGUAGAGGUGAAAUUCGUAGAUAUUCGCAAGAACACCAGUGGCGAAGGCGGCUCACUGGCCCGGUACUGACGCUGAGGUGCGAAAGCGUGGGGAGCAAACGGG
This 253-nucleotide ribosomal RNA is filed under the name uncultured bacterium. Its description in RNAcentral is "partial 16S ribosomal RNA". It matches the Rfam family "Bacterial small subunit ribosomal RNA", at positions 524 to 776 of the family's 1533-position model. The record is from RNAcentral.